AACACAUGCAAGUCGAGGGGCAGCACGGGUAGCAAUACUUGGUGGCGACCGGCGCACGGGUGAGUAACGCGUAUGCAACCUACCAUUAACUGGAACAUAGCCCGUCGAAAGGCGGAUUAAUUUUCCAUAACAUCACCAAGACGCAUGUUUUAGUGAUUAAAGCUCCGGCGGUUAACGAUGGGCAUGCGUGUCAUUAGCUAGUUGGUGAGGUAACGGCUCACCAAGGCUACGAUGACUAGGGGGUCUGAGAGGAUGAUCCCCCACACUGGAACUGAGACACGGUCCAGACUCCUACGGGAGGCAGCAGUGAGGAAUAUUGGUCAAUGGGGGCAACCCUGAACCAGCCAUGCCGCGUGAAGGAUGAAGGCCCUAUGGGUUGUAAACUUCUUUUUUUAGGGACGAAACUGCGAUACGAGUAUUGUACUGACGGUACCUAAUGAAUAAGCAACGGCUAACUCCGUGCCAGCAGCCGCGGUAAUACGGAGGUUGCAAGCGUUAUCCGGAUUUAUUGGGUUUAAAGGGUGCGUAGGCGGGAUUAUAAGUCAGUGGUGAAAACCUGCAGCUUAACUGUAGAACUGCCAUUGAUACUGUAAUUCUUGAGUGUAGUUGAGGUGGGCGGAAUGUGUAAUGUAGCGGUGAAAUGCUUAGAUAUUACACAGAACACCAAUUGCGUAGGCAGCUCACUAAACUAAUACUGACGCUGAGGCACGAAAGCGUGGGGAGCAAACAGGAUUAGAUACCCUGGUAGUCC
Molecule: ribosomal RNA, 751 nt
Filed under: uncultured bacterium
Lineage: Bacteria
Description: bacterial SSU rRNA
Rfam family: Bacterial small subunit ribosomal RNA
Source: RNAcentral